RNAcentral lists this ribosomal RNA (579 nucleotides) under uncultured bacterium. Its description in RNAcentral is "bacterial SSU rRNA". It matches the Rfam family "Bacterial small subunit ribosomal RNA", at positions 102 to 665 of the family's 1533-position model. The record is from RNAcentral.
AAGGGUGCGUAACACGUGGGCAACCUGCCCGAGAGUUGGGGAUAGCCCGCCGAAAGGCGGAUUAAUACCGAAUGUGGCGAGGGGAGACAUCUCUCUGUAGCUAAAGCCGGGGUCAAACCUGGCGCUCUUGGAUGGGCCCGCGGCCUAUCAGCUAGUUGGUGAGGUAACGGCUCACCAAGGCUAUGACGGGUAGCUGGUCUGAGAGGACGACCAGCCACACUGGAACUGAGGCACGGUCCAGACACCUACGGGUGGCAGCAGUCGAGAAUUUUUCUCAAUGGGGGAAACCCUGAAGGAGCGACGCCGCGUGGAGGAUGAAGGUCUUCGGAUUGUAAACUCCUGUCAUUGGUGAACAAGGCCCACGCAGUAACUGGUGUUGGGUUUGAUAGUAGCCGAAGAGGAAGAGACGGCUAACUCUGUGCCAGCAGCCGCGGUAAUACAGAGGUCUCGAGCGUUGUUCGGAUUCAUUGGGCGUAAAGGGUGCGUAGGCGGCGGGGUAAGUCUGAUGUGAAAUCCCGGGGCUCAACUCCGGAACUGCAUUGGAUACUGCUCUGCUUGAGUACUGGAGAGGAGACUGGA